Molecule: ribosomal RNA, 470 nt
Filed under: uncultured bacterium
Lineage: Bacteria
Description: bacterial SSU rRNA
Rfam family: Bacterial small subunit ribosomal RNA
Source: RNAcentral
GGCGGCGUGCCUAACACAUGCAAGUCAACUUGACUGAAGGAGCAAUCUGACAGUAGAGUGGCGCAAGGGUGCGUAACGCGUAAGUAACUUGCCCCAAGGUAAGGAAUAACGUCGAGAAAUCGGCGCUAAUGCCUCAUAAUGCAGCGGAUCCGCAUGGAUAUGUUGUUAAAGGUUUACCGCCUUGGGAUAGGCUUGCGUCUGAUUAGUUAGUUGGUGUGGUAACGGCACACCAAGGCUACGAUCAGUAACUGGUCUGAGAGGAUGAUCAGUCACACUGGAACUGAGACACGGUCCAGACUCCUACGGGAGGCAGCAGUGAGGAAUAUUGGGCAAUGCUCGAAAGAGUGACCCAGCAACGCCGCGUGGAGGAUGAAGGUAUUCUAUAUCGUAAACUCCUGUGAGAGCAGACGAAAGACAGAUUAUUAAUCUGGAUGACUGUAUGCUCAGAGGAAGCCCCGGCUAACUACGUG